This 443-nucleotide ribosomal RNA is filed under the name uncultured bacterium. Its description in RNAcentral is "partial 16S ribosomal RNA". It matches the Rfam family "Bacterial small subunit ribosomal RNA", at positions 338 to 795 of the family's 1533-position model. The record is from RNAcentral.
CCUACGGGGGUCAGCAGUGGGGAAUAUUGCACAAUGGGGGGAACCCUGAUGCAGCAAUGCCGCGUGAAGGAUGAAGGUUUUCGGAUUGUAAACUUCUUUUGUACGGGACGAAGAAAGUGACGGUACCGUAAGAAUAAGCCACGGCUAACUACGUGCCAGCAGCCGCGGUAAUACGUAGGUGGCAAGCGUUAUCCGGAUUUACUGGGUGUAAAGGGCGAGUAGGCGGGAUUGCAAGUCAGAUGUGAAAACUAUGGGCUCAACCGAUAGAGUGCAUUUGAAACUGCAGUUCUUGAGUGAUGGAGAGGCAGGCGGAAUUCCCGGUGUAGCGGUGAAAUGCAUAGAUAUCGCGCAGAACUCCGAUUGCGAAGGCAGCGUACCGGCGCCGGACUGACGCUGAGGCACGAAAGCGUGGGUAUCGAACAGGAUUAGAUACCCCAGUAGUC